Molecule: long non-coding RNA, 1243 nt
Organism: Schistocerca gregaria
Lineage: Eukaryota; Metazoa; Arthropoda; Insecta; Orthoptera; Acrididae
Exons: 2
Source: RefSeq, a predicted model, not a curated record
AUUCUGAGUAACUAUGUUCUGCAGGAGGGAUAUUUUGUAGUCAUUCUGUUGAUCUUCUUAUGUUAGCUCUAAAUAUAGUUGCUCGGUUUGUAAUCAUUCUUUCUCAUAUAAUUACAAUGAAUAUAAUGAUUCCUACAAUAGAAAUUGUAGACCCAAUUCUUGAUACUACGUUUCAUGAUGUAUAUGCGUCUGGGUAGUCAGAGUAUCGUCGAGGUAUUCCUGCUAAUCCUAGGAAGUGUUGAGGAAAGAAUGUUAAAUUUACUCCAAUGAAUAUAAUUGUAAAUUGGAUUUUUAAUCAUGUAUUAUUUAUAGUUAAUCCUGUAAAUAGUGGAUAUCAUUGAAUGACACCUCCUAUAAUUGCAAAUACUGCUCCUAUAGAUAAUACAUAAUGAAAGUGGGCUACUACAUAAUAUGUAUCAUGUAAUACAAUAUCAAGUGAUGAAUUUGCUAAUACUAAUCCUGUUAAUCCACCAAUUGUAAAUAGGAAAAUAAAUCCUAGAGCUCAUAAUAAUGGUGGAUUGAACUUGAAUUUAGUUCCAUAUAAUGUAGCUAAUCAUCUAAAUACCUUAAUUCCUGUAGGUACAGCAAUAAUUAUUGUUGCUGAUGUAAAAUAUGCUCGUGUGUCAACAUCCAUUCCUACUGUAAAUAUAUGAUGUGCUCAUACAAUAAAUCCUAUUAGUCCAAUUGAUAGUAUAGCAUAAAUUAUACCUAAUGUUCCAAAUGAUUCAAUUUUUCCUCUUUCUUGACAUACAAUAUGUGAAAUAAUUCCGAACCCCGGUAGAAUUAAAAUAUAAACUUCUGGGUGUCCAAAGAAUCAAAAUAGAUGUUGAUAUAGAAUUGGGUCACCCCCUCCUGCAGGGUCAAAGAAUGAUGUAUUUAAAUUUCGAUCUGUUAAUAAUAUAGUAAUAGCUCCUGCUAAAACUGGAAGUGAAAGAAGGAGAAGUAAUGCUGUAAUAGCUACAGAUCAUACAAAUAAAGGUGUUUGAUCUAAAGUUAUACUUUCUGAUCGUAUAUUAAUUGCUGUUGUAAUGAAAUUCACUGCCCCAAGAAUAGAUGAUACACCUGCUAAGUGCAGUGAAAAAAUAGCUAGAUCUACAGAUGCACCCCCGUGUGCAAUAGCUCCUGCUAGAGGAGGGUAAACUGUUCAUCCUGUACCAGCACCAUUAUCUACUAUAGAAGAUGUAAGAAGAAGGGUUAGUGAAGGUGGUAGUAAUCAAAAACUUAUAUUAUUUAUUUGUGGAAA